Molecule: long non-coding RNA, 211 nt
Filed under: Lathyrus oleraceus (garden pea)
Lineage: Eukaryota; Viridiplantae; Streptophyta; Magnoliopsida; Fabales; Fabaceae
Description: Pisum sativum (pea) long non-coding RNA (PSAT_LNC000938)
Source: RNAcentral
AAAGUCCAUUAAACAAAUACAAGGAAGCUCAUGCUAAUACAAAGAAACCGACAUUGGCAUACGUAAAUGAAACCAAACAGUACUGGCUAAAUUAAUUCCAAUAUCUUCCUCAUAUGCCAUGGAUUAAUUAUUUAGUAAUUUAAUUAAAUGUGAAAAGGCACUUGCUGCAUGGCCCACUCAACGGCCAAUCACAAUGCAACUUUAAAAAAAA